This 464-nucleotide ribosomal RNA is filed under the name uncultured bacterium. Its description in RNAcentral is "partial 16S ribosomal RNA". It matches the Rfam family "Bacterial small subunit ribosomal RNA", at positions 28 to 507 of the family's 1533-position model. The record is from RNAcentral.
GACGAACGCUGGCGGCGUGCUUAACACAUGCAAGUCGAACGGUAAGGCCCCAGCUUGCUGGGGUACACGAGUGGCGAACGGGUGAGUAACACGUGGGUGACCUGCCCCGCACUUCGGGAUAAGCCUGGGAAACUGGGUCUACUACCGGAUAGGACCGCACCGUGCGGGAUUGGUGGUAAGUUUUUCGGUGUGGGAUGGACUCGCGGCCUAUCAGCUUGUCGGUGGGUUAAUGGCCUACUAAGGCGGCGACGGGUAGUCGGCAUGAGAGGGUGGACGGCCAAAUUGGGACUGAGGCACGACCCAGACUCCUACGGGAGGCAGCAGUGGAGAAUAUUGCACAAUGGGCGGAAGCCUGAUGCAGCGACGCCGCGUGGGGGAUGACGGCCUUCGGGUUAUAAACUCCUUUAACCAGCGACGAAGGUUUUCUGACGGUAGAUGGAGAAGAAGCGCCGGCUAACUACGUG